UCCUACGGGUGGCUGCAGUGGGGAAUAUUGCGCAAUGGGCGAAAGCCUGACGCAGCGACGCCGCGUGGAGGAUGAAGGUCUUCGGAUUGUAAACUUCUGUUAAGUGGGAAAAAAGACUCGUUUUUAAUAGAGACGAGGGAUGAUUGUACCAUUAGAGAAAGCACUGGCUAACUUCGUGCCAGCAGCCGCGGUAAUACGAAGGGUGCGAGCGUUAUUCGGAAUCACUAGGGCGUAAAGGGUGUGUAGGCGGUGUAUUAAGUCUAUCGUUAAAUUCCUCGGCCUAACUGGGGACCCGCGAUGGAUACUGAUAUGCUGGAGGUUGGAAGAGAGGAGUGGAAUUCUCGGAGUAGCGGUAAAAUGCGUAGAUCUCGAGAGGAACACCAAUUGCGAAGGCAGCUCCUUGGUCCAUACCUGACGCUGAAACACGAAAGCGUGGGGAGCAAACAGGAUUAGAUACCCUGGUAGUCCACGCCGUAAACGGUGGGCGCUAGGUGUGGGGAACAUUCCACGUUCUCCGUGCCGCAGCUAACGCAUUAAGCGCCCCGCCUGGGGAGUACGGCCGCAAGGCUAAAACUCAAAGGAAUUGACGGG
RNAcentral lists this ribosomal RNA (591 nucleotides) under uncultured bacterium. RNAcentral's name for it is "bacterial SSU rRNA". It matches the Rfam family "Bacterial small subunit ribosomal RNA", at positions 337 to 917 of the family's 1533-position model. The record is from RNAcentral.